UACGGAGGGGGCUAGCGUUGUUCGGAAUUACUGGGCGUAAAGCGCACGUAGGCGGACCAGAAAGUUGGGGGUGAAAUCCCGGGGCUCAACCCCGGAACUGCCUUCAAAACUAUUGGUCUGGAGUUCGAGAGAGGUGAGUGGAAUUCCGAGUGUAGAGGUGAAAUUCGUAGAUAUUCGGAGGAACACCAGUGGCGAAGGCGGCUCACUGGCUCGAUACUGACGCUGAGGUGCGAAAGCGUGGGGAGCAAACAGG
This 253-nucleotide ribosomal RNA is filed under the name uncultured bacterium. RNAcentral describes it as "partial 16S ribosomal RNA". It matches the Rfam family "Bacterial small subunit ribosomal RNA", at positions 524 to 776 of the family's 1533-position model. The record is from RNAcentral.